Molecule: ribosomal RNA, 484 nt
Filed under: uncultured Flavobacteriaceae bacterium
Lineage: Bacteria; Pseudomonadati; Bacteroidota; Flavobacteriia; Flavobacteriales; Flavobacteriaceae
Description: bacterial SSU rRNA
Rfam family: Bacterial small subunit ribosomal RNA
Source: RNAcentral
GAUGAACGCUAGCGGCAGGCCUAACACAUGCAAGUCGAGGGGUAACAGGGAUUGCUUGCAAUCCGCUGACGACCGGCGCACGGGUGCGUAACGCGUAUGCAACCUACCUUUUACAGGGGGAUAGUCAAUAGAAAUGUUGAAUAAUACCCCAUACGAUCGUUUAUUGGCAUCGAUAGACGAGGAAAACUCCGGUGGUAAAAGAUGGGCAUGCGUCCUAUUAGCUAGAUGGUGAGGUAACGGCUCACCAUGGCUACGAUAGGUAGGGGUCCUGAGAGGGAGAUCCCCCACACUGGUACUGAGACACGGACCAGACUCCUACGGGAGGCAGCAGUGAGGAAUAUUGGACAAUGGAGGCAACUCUGAUCCAGCCAUGCCGCGUGCAGGAAGACAGCCCUAUGGGUUGUAAACUGCUUUUAUACAGGAAGAAUGGUAUCUACGUGUAGAUAUUUGACGGUACUGUAGGAAUAAGGAUCGGCUAACUCCG